Molecule: ribosomal RNA, 468 nt
Filed under: uncultured bacterium
Lineage: Bacteria
Description: partial 16S ribosomal RNA
Rfam family: Bacterial small subunit ribosomal RNA
Source: RNAcentral
GACGAACACUGGCGGCGUGCUUAACACAUGCAAGUCGAACGGAAAGGCCCUGCUUUUGUGGGGUGCUCGAGUGGCGAACGGGUGAGUAACACGUGAGUAACCUGCCCUUGACUUUGGGAUAACUUCAGGAAACUGGGGCUAAUACCGGAUAGGAGCUCCUGCUGCAUGGUGGGGGUUGGAAAGUUUCGGCGGUUGGGGAUGGACUCGCGGCUUAUCAGCUUGUUGGUGGGGUAGUGGCUUACCAAGGCUUUGACGGGUAGCCGGCCUGAGAGGGUGACCGGCCACAUUGGGACUGAGAUACGGCCCAGACUCCUACGGGAGGCAGCAGUGGGGAAUAUUGCACAAUGGGCGGAAGCCUGAUGCAGCAACGCCGCGUGCGGGAUGACGGCCUUCGGGUUGUAAACCGCUUUCGCCUGUGAUGAAGCGUGAGUGACGGUAAUGGGUAAAGAAGCACCGGCUAACUACGUG